This 471-nucleotide ribosomal RNA is filed under the name uncultured bacterium. RNAcentral describes it as "bacterial SSU rRNA". It matches the Rfam family "Bacterial small subunit ribosomal RNA", at positions 30 to 507 of the family's 1533-position model. The record is from RNAcentral.
AUUGAACGCUGGCGGCAUGCCUUACACAUGCAAGUCGAACGGUAACAGGUCUUCGGAUGCUGACGAGUGGCGAACGGGUGAGUAACACGUAGGAAUCUACCCUUAAGACGGGGACAACCCAGGGAAACUUGGGCUAAUACCGGAUGAGAGUGCGAGAGAUUGCAUUUAAAAGGAUGGCGAAAGUUGUCGCUUAGGGAUGAGCCUGCGGUCUAUUAGUUAGUUGGUGAGGUAAGAGCUCACCAAGGCGACGAUGGGUAGCCGGCCUGAGAGGGUGGACGGCCACACUGGGACUGAGACACGGCCCAGACUCCUACGGGAGGCAGCAGUAGGGAAUAUUGCGCAAUGGACGGAAGUCUGACGCAGCGACGCCGCGUGAGCGAUGAAGGUCUUCGGAUCGUAAAGCUCUGUCCUUGGGGAAGAAGGUCUUCGGACUUGACGGUACCCAAGAAGAAAGCCCCGGCUAACUACGUG